Molecule: microRNA precursor, 70 nt
Filed under: Pelobates cultripes (western spadefoot toad)
Lineage: Eukaryota; Metazoa; Chordata; Amphibia; Anura; Pelobatidae
Source: RNAcentral
CUCUGUGUCAUUUUACACAGCGUGGGAAAGUUCUUUGCAAUUUUCCCACACUGUGUAAAAUGACAAAGAG